GGCGAAGGAGCAGGAGUCUCACCUGAUAGAGAAUGACGACCAUCACAAAUGGACACCUGCUACACCGGGGAGCUUGAAGGGCGUUGUUAGAUCAUUUAGAAAAUUACAAGGUGGUAAAGGUGUCAAACGAGCACGAGGUUCACCUCAUGGAAAGUGACAAUACUAAAAUACCGACGCUCAUGGACAUCUGCAACACCGGGGGCUUGCAGGUACAUUGCCGGCCUUCAAGAAAUGUAUACGCUUUUCUUGAAGGAACUUAUACCGUUCGGAAAAACCGCCACCGAAAGCUGGCUCCACAGAGAUUGGGCGAGACAGAGAAAAUGCCUUUAAAACCGCUGUUGUGGACUUUCGGACAUUUAGGUGUAAAUAAUCUUAAAAAUUGGAAGAUUUUUGUCAAUGAAUAAGAUGUAAUGCUUGUAUGUUGAAUAAAUAUAUUUGGAUUUUGAACACGCACCAUACAAAAGUC
Long non-coding RNA from Vanessa atalanta (red admiral), 466 nucleotides. RefSeq lists it as uncharacterized. The record is from RefSeq and is a predicted model, not a curated record. The transcript has 2 exons. NCBI's taxonomy places the organism in Eukaryota, Metazoa, Arthropoda, Insecta, Lepidoptera, Nymphalidae.